Molecule: ribosomal RNA, 292 nt
Filed under: uncultured bacterium
Lineage: Bacteria
Description: partial 16S ribosomal RNA
Rfam family: Bacterial small subunit ribosomal RNA
Source: RNAcentral
GUGUCAGCAGCCGCGGUAAGACGGAGGAUGCAAGUGUUAUCCGGAAUCACUGGGCGUAAAGCGUCUGUAGGUGGUUUAAAAAGUCUACUGUUAAAAAUUGAAGCUUAACUUCAAAGAUGCCGUAGAAACUUUUAAACUCGAGGAUGGUAGGGGUAGAGGGAAUUUCCAGUGGAGCGGUGAAAUGCGUAGAUCUUGGAAAGACCACCAAUGGCGAAGGCACUCUACUGGGCCAUUACUGACACUAAGAGACGAAAGCUAGGGGAGCAAAUGGGAUUAGAAACCCCAGUAGUCC